UUCUGGGCGUAAGCGUGCGUAGGCGGCUUUUUAAGUCGGAUGUGAAAUCCCUGAGCUUAACUUAGGAAUUGCAUUCGAUACUGGAAAGCUAGAGUAUGGGAGAGGAUGGUAGAAUUCCAGGUGUAGCGGUGAAAUGCGUAGAGAUCUGGAGGAAUACCGAUGGCGAAGGCAGCCAUCUGGCCUAAUACUGACGCUGAGGUACGAAAGCAUGGGGAGCAAACAGGAUUAGAUACCCUGGUAGUCCAUGCCGUAAACGAUGUCUACUAGCCGUUGGGGCCUUUGAGGCUUUAGUGGCGCAGCUAACGCGAUAAGUAGACCGCCUGGGGAGUACGGUCGCAAGACUAAAACUCAAAUGAAUUGACGGGGGCCCGCACAAGCGGUGGAGCAUGUGGUUUAAUUCGAUGCAACGCGAAGAACCUUACCUGGCCUUGACAUACUAAGAACUUUCCAGAGAUGGAUUGGUGCCUUCGGGAACUUAGAUACAGGUGCUGCAUGGCUGUCGUCAGCUCGUGUCGUGAGAUGUUGGGUUAAGUCCCGCAACGAGCGCAACCCUUUUCCUUAUUUGCCAGCGGGUAAUGCCGGGAACUUUAAGGAUACUGCCAGUGACAAACUGGAGGAAGGCGGGGACGACGUCAAGUCAUCAUGGCCCUUACGGCCAGGGCUACACACGUGCUACAAUGGUCGGUACAAAGGGUUGCUACCUCGCGAGAGGAUGCUAAUCUCAAAAAGCCGAUCGUAGUCCGGAUCGCAGUCUGCAACUCGACUGCGUGAAGUCGGAAUCGCUAGUAAUCGCGGAUCAGAAUGCCGCGGUGAAUACGUUCCCGGGCCUUGUACACACCGCCCGUCACACCAUGGGAGUUUGUUGCACCAGAAGUAGGUAGUCUAACCGUAAGGAGGACGCUUACCACGGUGUGGCCGAUGACUGGGUGAAGUCGUACAGGGUAAC
This 946-nucleotide ribosomal RNA is filed under the name Acinetobacter sp. RNAcentral's name for it is "bacterial SSU rRNA". It matches the Rfam family "Bacterial small subunit ribosomal RNA", at positions 552 to 1500 of the family's 1533-position model. The record is from RNAcentral. Lineage: Bacteria; Pseudomonadati; Pseudomonadota; Gammaproteobacteria; Moraxellales; Moraxellaceae.